UUUGUCACAUUCAUAAUUUUGUAUCAGAGUUAUAUGUUAAUUAUGAUUGCAGUACCUACUUUACUAAUGUGUGAGAGAGACUGAGCAAGCUACUUGCUAAGCAAGCAUUCCCCAGCUCUUAUCACACGAUAUCAUCAACCAACAUUAUUAGCACUGGAAACACUACUGACAAUGAUACUGGCAUUAGAAUCAACCAACACCACCACUACUGAUAAUGAUGAUACCAAUGAUGGUGAUACUAAUAGAAUGUGUACUAAAAAUGGAGGGAAAGUUGCAGGUGACUGUAAUAAAGGAGUGAGUGUGAAUUGAUCUGCUUGGAUCAUAUUCUCAUCAGAUAAGCAGCAGGAACCAGAUAUCAUUCUAAAUGGAGCAGAGGUGGUGGUUGGAGCUAUAUCAGAACCUAAUAUGGCGUUUUGGCCUUUUGUCACUUUAUUUAACCAUUUUUAAGGGUACCGUCAAGGAUCUCAAGUCCUAUUUUGUGGGCGGAGUUGACACCUUGUCAUCAAAUUUACAUGAAUGAACAUUAAAGGUACUGUCAAGGAUCUCAAGUCCAUUUUAGACGGCGGAUUUGACGCCUUGUCUUCAAAUUUACAUGAAUGAACAUUAAAGAGGUCAUCGUGGGGGGCGGAGUCAUGCAUCCCAUCUAAUAUGGCGUUUUGGCCUUUUGUCACUUCAUUUAACCGUUUUUA
This is a long non-coding RNA of Amphimedon queenslandica, 689 nucleotides long. RefSeq lists it as uncharacterized. Lineage: Eukaryota; Metazoa; Porifera; Demospongiae; Haplosclerida; Niphatidae. The transcript has 5 exons. The record is from RefSeq and is a predicted model, not a curated record.